Molecule: ribosomal RNA, 301 nt
Filed under: uncultured bacterium
Lineage: Bacteria
Description: partial 16S ribosomal RNA
Rfam family: Bacterial small subunit ribosomal RNA
Source: RNAcentral
CAGUCGCCGCGGGAAUACGAAGGGUGCAAGCGUUACUCGGAAUUACUGGGCGUAAAGCGUGCGUAGGUGGUGGUUUAAGUCCGUUGUGAAAGCCCUGGGCUCAACCUGGGAAUUGCAGUGGAUACUGGGUCACUAGAGUGUGGUAGAGGAUAGUGGAAUUUCCGGUGUAGCGGUGAAAUGCGUAGAUAUAGGAAGGAACACCAGUGGCGAAGGCGACCACCUGGACUGAUACUGACACUGAGGUGCGAAAGCGUGGGGAGCAAACAGGAUUAGAUACCCGCGUAGUCCCUGUCUCUUAUAU